RNAcentral lists this ribosomal RNA (815 nucleotides) under Leifsonia xyli. RNAcentral's name for it is "bacterial SSU rRNA". It matches the Rfam family "Bacterial small subunit ribosomal RNA", at positions 53 to 879 of the family's 1533-position model. Lineage: Bacteria; Bacillati; Actinomycetota; Actinomycetes; Micrococcales; Microbacteriaceae. The record is from RNAcentral.
ACAUGCAGUCGACGAUGACCAGGAGCUUGCUCUUGGGGAUUAGUGGCGAACGGGUGAGUAACACGUGAGUAACCUGCCCUUGACUCUGGGAUAACCUCCGGAAACGGAAGCUAAUACCGGAUACGAACUGCGAAGGCAUCUUCAGCAGUUGGAAAGAACUUCGGUCAAGGAUGGACUCGCGGCCUAUCAGGUAGUUGGUGAGGUAACGGCUCACCAAGCCUACGACGGGUAGCCGGCCUGAGAGGGUGACCGGCCACACUGGGACUGAGACACGGCCCAGACUCCUACGGGAGGCAGCAGUGGGGAAUAUUGCACAAUGGGCGCAAGCCUGAUGCAGCAACGCCGCGUGAGGGAUGACGGCCUUCGGGUUGUAAACCUCUUUUAGUAGGGAAGAAGCGAAAGUGACGGUACCUGCAGAAAAAGCACCGGCUAACUACGUGCCAGCAGCCGCGGUAAUACGUAGGGUGCGAGCGUUGUCCGGAAUUAUUGGGCGUAAAGAGCUCGUAGGCGGUCUGUCGCGUCUGCUGUGAAAACCCGAGGCUCAACCUCGGGCCUGCAGUGGGUACGGGCAGACUAGAGUGCGGUAGGGGAGAAUGGAAUUCCUGGUGUAGCGGUGGAAUGCGCAGAUAUCAGGAGGAACACCGAUGGCGAAGGCAGUUCUCUGGGCCGUAACUGACGCUGAGGAGCGAAAGCGUGGGGAGCGAACAGGAUUAGAUACCCUGGUAGUCCACGCCGUAAACGUUGGGCGCUAGAUGUGGGGGACCAUUCCACGGUUUCCGUGUCGCAGCUAACGCAUUAAGCGCCCCGCCUGGGGG